GAGGCUGUAGCUCAGUGGCAGAGUGCUUGCCUAGCAUGUGUGAGGCACUGGGUUCAAUCCCCAGCACCACA
Molecule: transfer RNA, 71 nt
Filed under: Marmota monax (woodchuck)
Lineage: Eukaryota; Metazoa; Chordata; Mammalia; Rodentia; Sciuridae
Description: tRNA.Ala
Rfam family: tRNA (bases 6-66)
About the family: Transfer RNA (tRNA) molecules are approximately 80 nucleotides in length. Their secondary structure includes four short double-helical elements and three loops (D, anti-codon, and T loops).
Source: RNAcentral